GUGAGUAACGCGUAUGCAACCUGCCCGUUUCAGCGGGAUAACCCGGAGAAAUCCGGCCUAAUACCGCAUGUGGCCGAGGGGAGGCAUCUUCUUUCGGCCAAAGGAGGCGACUCCGGAGACGGAUGGGCAUGCGUGACAUUAGCUUGUUGGCGGGGUAACGGCCCACCAAGGCGACGAUGUCUAGGGGUUCUGAGAGGAAGGUCCCCCACACUGGUACUGAGACACGGACCAGACUCCUACGGGAGGCAGCAGUGAGGAAUAUUGGUCAAUGGGCGAGAGCCUGAACCAGCCAAGUCGCGUGAAGGAUGACGGCCCUACGGGUUGUAAACUUCUUUUGUCAGGGAGCAAUUGGGUCCACGUGUGGGCUUAGCGAGAGUACCUGAAGAAAAAGCAUCGGCUAACUCCGUGCCAGCAGCCGCGGUAAUACGGAGGAUGCGAGCGUUAUCCGGAUUUAUUGGGUUUAAAGGGUGCGUAGGCGGAAUAUCAAGUCAGCGGUAAAAAUUCGGGGCUCAACCCCGUCGUGCCGUUGAAACUGAUGUUCUUGAGUGGGCGAGAAGUAUGCGGAAUGCGUGGUGUGGCGGUGAAAUGCAUAGAUAUCACGCAGAACUCCGAUUGCGAAGGCAGCAUACCGGCGCCCAACUGACGCUGAAGCACGAAAGCGUGGGUAUCGAACAGGAUUAGAUACCCUGGUAGUCCACGCAGUAAACGAU
Molecule: ribosomal RNA, 710 nt
Filed under: uncultured bacterium
Lineage: Bacteria
Description: bacterial SSU rRNA
Rfam family: Bacterial small subunit ribosomal RNA
Source: RNAcentral